GAUGAACGCUGGCGGCGUGCCUAAUACAUGCAAGUCGAGCGAACAGACGAGGAGCUUGCUCCUUCGACGUUAGCGGCGGACGGGUGAGUAACACGUAGGUAACCUACCUAUAAGACUGGGAUAACUUCGGGAAACCGGAGCUAAUACCGGAUAAUAUUUCGAACCGCAUGGUUCGAUAGUGAGAGAUGGCUUUGCUAUCACUUAUAGAUGGACCUGCGCCGUAUUAGCUAGUUGGUAAGGUAACGGCUUACCAAGGCAACGAUACGUAGCCGACCUGAGAGGGUGAUCGGCCACACUGGAACUGAGACACGGUCCAGACUCCUACGGGAGGCAGCAGUAGGGAAUCUUCCGCAAUGGGCGAAAGCCUGACGGAGCAACGCCGCGUGAGUGAUGAAGGUCUUCGGAUCGUAAAACUCUGUUAUUAGGGAAGAACAAACGUGUAAGUAACUGUGCACGUCUUGACGGUACCUAAUCAGAAAGCCACGGCUAACUACGUG
Molecule: ribosomal RNA, 497 nt
Filed under: uncultured bacterium
Lineage: Bacteria
Description: partial 16S ribosomal RNA
Rfam family: Bacterial small subunit ribosomal RNA
Source: RNAcentral